AUUAACUCAUACUCAUACAUGUCAAUACUAAUUUUUAUAUAAAAACAAAAUCCCAAUCCUGAUUUCUUGGACAGGUUAACUAAUAAAAGGUGUUUGGAAAUUGCUGCGGAAAUAACAUCAGAGUUUUUAAAUAAGGCAGUGAAACGAGUGAUGGUAGGUGGGCAAAGGUUGCGGAUGGCAAAGGCAAGUAAGUGAUGCUUUCAUGGAGAUGGUAGAUGCCUCAGGUUAUCCCUUUGCAAUGUUGGCUUCAGCAAAAGGGAUGGUGGAAGAACACCACCCCAACUUCAUCGGCACUUACUGGGGACCAGCAAGCACUCCCUUUUGUGCAGAAAUUGUGGAAUCUUCUGAUGCUUACCUUUUUGCUGGUCCAAUAUCCAAUGAUAUUAUCUCUUUAGGGAACUCGCUGCCCCUAAAAAAGGAGAGCUCAAUUGUUGUGCUGCCUGAUCGGGUAAUGAUUGGAAAUGGACCUACCAUUGGGUGUGUUUCAAUGAAGAACUUCUUUGAAGCACUUACAAAACGCCUUAAACGCAACACAACUGCUUUUGACAACUACCAAAGAAUACACGUCCCAGAUGGGCUUCCCAUUCACCCUAAUCCAAAUGAGGUGUCAAGGGUCAAUGUUUUAUUCAGACACAUACCAGAACAUGUUGUCCCGUGACACCACUGUGAUUGCUGAAACAGGAGACACAUGGUUUACAUGCCAGAAGUUGAAACUACCACAUGGCUGCGGGUAUGAGUGUCAGAUGCAGUACGGAUCAAUAGGUUGGUCAGUUGGUGCAACUCUUGGUUAUGCGCAGGCUGCUCCCCAUAAGAGAGUCAUUGCUUCCAGGUCAUUCAAUUUCACUGCUUGCAUUUAUCAUAUUUAAUUAUGUCACAAAAUUGAUUAAUUAUUGGAGAAUAUAAUUAAGGACCUUAGACAUUGGUAUUGUUAGAUUUCAUUUAAGUUUACUAGUAGAUAUAUAAUUUGCACUCUAGAAAUUUAGGCAGGAAAUGUGGACUUUCAAACACAUAUCAAGUAUAACUAUUUACUUUGGUCCUUGGAAACUGAUGAAUAACCAAUUCAUUAGUUGGAUACCAAAUUACCAAAAAUUGUUAAUAUAUAGUAAGUGAUUAAAAUUAAUGGCAUCAUCUAGCAGAUGACAGUACAGGAAGUGUCAACAAUGUUACGGUGUGGGCAGAAUGGCAUUGUCUUUCUAAUUAACAAUGGUGGAUACACUACAGAGGUAGAAAUCCAUGAUGGACUUUACAAUGUCAUAAAAAACUGGGACUAUGCUGGACUUGUGGAAAGAAUAGAUAAUGGUGAAGGCAAAUGCUGGACUGCCAAGGUCAGACAAUCUUAAAACACUUGGAAUUCAGAAACUUGUACAAAAUUCUAGCUCAACAGAAAUUAGACUUCAAUCUGCUAGAUGAUGCCCAACAUGCAAUGAGACUAGUUUCUGAUUAAAAUUCUGCAUUGCUUUGCUUCUAAUUUUGUCGUUUACUUGACCUUGCAUUCGGCUAGAAUCCACAAUUGGAAGUGGUCGUACGUGGCCCAAUAAGAAAUGGGCUUCAUUGUCCAGACGUAGCCCAACAUGCAAUGAGACUAGUUCAAAGAUGUGGUGAAGCCGCAUCUGAUUUUGGGCCUUUCAGGAACCCAUCCCAAAAUAGCUAACAUCUUUAUUCGGUUGCUUUGGUGCAAUAAUUCUGUAUUCUCGGAUGUACUGCUAUGCUUAUUUGGUGACCGUUUGUCACAAUCGGCAAUAUUUCCUUCCUUUCA
This is a long non-coding RNA of Glycine soja, 1756 nucleotides long. RefSeq lists it as uncharacterized. NCBI's taxonomy places the organism in Eukaryota, Viridiplantae, Streptophyta, Magnoliopsida, Fabales, Fabaceae. The record is from RefSeq and is a predicted model, not a curated record. The transcript has 2 exons.